RNAcentral lists this ribosomal RNA (381 nucleotides) under uncultured eukaryote. Its description in RNAcentral is "SSU rRNA". It matches the Rfam family "Eukaryotic small subunit ribosomal RNA", at positions 587 to 972 of the family's 1831-position model. The record is from RNAcentral.
AGCUCCAAUAGCGUAUAUUAAAGUUGUUGCAGUUAAAAAGCUCGUAGUUGGACCUCGGAGCAGGUUGAUUGGUCCGUCCUGAAGGAUGCUGUACUGAUCGGUCUGCUCUUCUUCGCGAAGACUCCGUGUGCCCUUAACUGGGUGGGCGAAGGAUUCGCGACGUUUACUUUGAAAAAAUUAGAGUGUUCAAAGCAGGCAAUCGCUUGGAUAUCUCAGCAUGGAAUAAUAGAAUAGGACUUUGGUCUUAUUUUGUUGGUUUCCGAGACCGAAGUAAUGAUUAAUAGGGACAGUUGGGGGCAUUCGUAUUUCAUUGUCAGAGGUGAAAUUCUUGGAUUUAUGAAAGACGAACUACUGCGAAAGCAUUUGCCAAGGAUGUUUUCA